UACACUCCUGCGGGAGGCAGCAGUGGGGAAUUUUGGACAAUGGGCGAAAGCCUGAUCCAGCCAUGCCGCGUGCAGGAUGAAGGCCUUCGGGUUGUAAACUGCUUUUGUACGGAACGAAACGGCCUUUUCUAAUAAAGAGGGCUAAUGACGGUACCGUAAGAAUAAGCACCGGCUAACUACGUGCCAGCAGCCGCGGUAAUACGUAGGGUGCAAGCGUUAAUCGGAAUUACUGGGCGUAAAGCGUGCGCAGGCGGUUAUGUAAGACAGUUGCGAAAUCCCCGGGCUCAACCUGGGAACUGCAUCUGUGACUGCAUAGCUAGAGUACGGUAGAGGGGGAUGGAAUUCCGCGUGUAGCAGUGAAAUGCGUAGAUAUGCGGAGGAACACCGAUGGCGAAGGCAAUCCCCUGGACCUGUACUGACGCUCAUGCACGGAAGCGUGGGGAGCAAACAGGAUUAGAAACCCCUGUAGUCCCA
This 474-nucleotide ribosomal RNA is filed under the name uncultured organism. Its description in RNAcentral is "partial 16S ribosomal RNA". It matches the Rfam family "Bacterial small subunit ribosomal RNA", at positions 332 to 797 of the family's 1533-position model. The record is from RNAcentral.